GACGAACGCUGGCGGCGGGCUUAACACAUGCAAGUCGAACGGAAAGGCCCUGCUUGUGUGGGGUGCUCGAGUGGCGAACGGGUGAGUAACACGUGAGUAACCUGCCCUUGACUUUGGGAUAACUGCAGGAAACUGGGGCUAAUACCGGAGAGGAGCGCCUGCUGCAUGGGGGGGGUUGGAAAGUUUCGGCGGUUGGGGAUGGACUCGCGGCUUAUCAGCUGGUUGGUGGGGUAGUGGCUUACCAAGGCUUUGACGGGUAGCCGGCCUGAGAGGGUGACCGGCCACAUUGGGACUGCGGUACGGCCCAGACUCCUACGGUAGGCAGCAGUGGGGAAUAUUGCCCAAUGGGCGGACGCCUGAUGCAGCAACGUCGCGUGCGGGAUGACGGCCUUCGGGUUGUAAACCGCUUUCGCCUGUGACGAAGCGUGAGUGACGGUAAUGGGUAAAGAAGCACCGGCUAACUACGUG
This 468-nucleotide ribosomal RNA is filed under the name uncultured bacterium. RNAcentral describes it as "partial 16S ribosomal RNA". It matches the Rfam family "Bacterial small subunit ribosomal RNA", at positions 28 to 507 of the family's 1533-position model. The record is from RNAcentral.